ACUCCUGCGGGAGGCAGCAGUGGGGAAUUUUGGACAAUGGGCGAAAGCCUGAUCCAGCCAUGCCGCGUGCAGGAUGAAGGCCUUCGGGUUGUAAACUGCUUUUGUACGGAACGAAACGGCCUUUUCUAAUAAAGAGGGCUAAUGACGGUACCGUAAGAAUAAGCACCGGCUAACUACGUGCCAGCAGCCGCGGUAAUACGUAGGGUGCAAGCGUUAAUCGGAAUUACUGGGCGUAAAGCGUGCGCAGGCGGUUAUGUAAGACAGUUGUGAAAUCCCCGGGCUCAACCUGGGAACUGCAUCUGUGACUGCAUAGCUAGAGUACGGUAGAGGGGGAUGGAAUUCCGCGUGUAGCAGUGAAAUGCGUAGAUAUGCGGAGGAACACCGAUGGCGAAGGCAAUCCCCUGGACCUGUACUGACGCUCAUGCACGAAAGCGUGGGGAGCAAACAGGAUUAGAUACCCGAGUAGUCCC
RNAcentral lists this ribosomal RNA (470 nucleotides) under uncultured organism. Its description in RNAcentral is "partial 16S ribosomal RNA". It matches the Rfam family "Bacterial small subunit ribosomal RNA", at positions 335 to 797 of the family's 1533-position model. The record is from RNAcentral.